Heterocephalus glaber (naked mole-rat) is the source of this 473-nucleotide long non-coding RNA. The record is from Ensembl. Lineage: Eukaryota; Metazoa; Chordata; Mammalia; Rodentia; Bathyergidae.
UUCUAUAGAGAGAAGGAAAGAAAGAAGAAAGGAAAAUGAAAAAAUUACUAUGUACUUUGUUCGACAUCACUUGCAGAAACUCAACAGAAAGAGAAACAGUCCCAGGUUAUGCUGCCCCUUCCCACGCCCAUCCUCACAUUUAGAUUCUUCAGAGUCCCAUCCGCAGUGACAGGGCGCACAGUGCUCCAGGUUCUUUUCCUGUGACAUGGACACGGGUGCAGAAACAUUUCUCCACUCCGAAACAGACACAGCGCAAGCAUGAUGACCUUCACAACGGCCCGCGUCCUCAGCAGGGAGCAGGACGGAGGCGAGGAGAUUGGCUGUGGGUAAGCGCAAGAAAGGGGCACAAUGAUGCAGGACUUUCCAUACCGGCCGUCGCCCCUCUGAGAGAAAGACAACGCAGGCGAGAAGGAUGCAGAAGUCCAAGAUGUACUGCACUUUUGAAGAAGGAGAUCAAGGAAGGCUUAACGGAG